RNAcentral lists this ribosomal RNA (124 nucleotides) under Bacteroidales bacterium. RNAcentral's name for it is "partial 16S ribosomal RNA". It matches the Rfam family "Bacterial small subunit ribosomal RNA", at positions 1 to 123 of the family's 1533-position model. Lineage: Bacteria; Pseudomonadati; Bacteroidota; Bacteroidia; Bacteroidales. The record is from RNAcentral.
ACAAUGGAGAGUUUGAUCCUGGCUCAGGAUGAACGCUAGCGACAGGCCUAACACAUGCAAGUCGAGGGGUAUCAGGGACCUUGCUCCGCUGACGACCGGCGCACGGGUGAGUAACGCGUAUGCA